AGUCGUAACAAGGUAUCCGUAGGUGAACCUGCGGAUGGAUCAUUAUAGGGUGUUGGGUAAUUGUGAGUGGUUUUAUUAAUAGUUUGAGCGGUGUUGGUUGGGAUGCGAAGCAGGAUUGCGAAGCAGGAUUGCCAAGCAAGACAGCCAACAUUGCCAGCCAACAUUGCCUCACGUUAAACUCUAUAAAUCUAACAAUUACAUACAAAAAAAAACAACUUUUAGCAACGGAUCUCUUGGCUCUC
Molecule: unclassified non-coding RNA, 242 nt
Filed under: fungal sp.
Lineage: Eukaryota; Fungi
Description: partial internal transcribed spacer region
Rfam family: Eukaryotic small subunit ribosomal RNA (bases 1-45)
Source: RNAcentral